GAUGCACCUGCGGACCUGUCCCUGAAAAAGCUCUGUGUGGGUGUGGAGUGAGAAAAUGCAAGGAUAUUCAAACUCCGGAUUUUCUCCUUCCCUUUGAGAGCUCUGCUCAUCUCUGCAGCUUUGAAACCGUACACAGGAAGCAGAGCUGCUGACGUCAGGAGACCUCGGAGACCCGCUAUCGCAUCUGUUUCAUUGUACAGGUAAGGAAGCUAAAUUACAGAUUAAAGGAUUUGCCCAAAGCUACAGAGCAGAGGACUAUGAGUAGAACCCAGAUCUCUUGUUUCCUAGUUC
RNAcentral lists this long non-coding RNA (291 nucleotides) under Capra hircus (goat). RNAcentral describes it as "lncRNA (ENSCHIG00000003912.1)". The record is from RNAcentral. Lineage: Eukaryota; Metazoa; Chordata; Mammalia; Artiodactyla; Bovidae.